Lepus europaeus (European hare) is the source of this 554-nucleotide long non-coding RNA. RefSeq lists it as uncharacterized. Lineage: Eukaryota; Metazoa; Chordata; Mammalia; Lagomorpha; Leporidae. The record is from RefSeq and is a predicted model, not a curated record. The transcript has 4 exons.
GGUGUCUCCUGGUGCCAACUGGCGUCGGGCUGGCUCCUGGCUUCUGGGUUCCUGCCCUCGGCGCCGUCUGCCUGGCGUUGGGGCUGCUGUUUCGCCUCCCUCAGCGGACUGUCGCCCCUUUGUCACGUUGGAAUUACACCUGUCUUUGCAGACGAAGGGCCCGACUCCUCCCAAGACCAAAGCCAUCACAGAGGAAAGCAGAGUGGAGAAACAGACGGGGGAGGAUAACAUUGUUUGAGCCAUGGGUGCAGCCAUAUAGCACUCACUCUGGAGGGAGCCAGCCGUCCUGAUGUGAGGACAUCCUGCCAGGUAGCAUGUGGCCAGGCCUAUACAGGGAGGAACUGAGGCCUGCCUCCAACAACCCUCAGGGAAUUGAGGAGGUAACUUGGGCCAGCACACAGCGCACAGCCAGACCAGAGAACAUUCCCACCAGCCUGCGAGGAUGAGAGCCCCUUCUCCCGGCAGGAGACACGUUUGUUCAUGAGCUUGUGGGCUCAGAAAAAGGAGGAGGCCCCACAGCGCCGGGGGCUUCGUCAUCCAGGCGUCCUGGCGAC